GCCGCAUUGGCGUAGUGGUAUGCGCGUCGCACUUGUAUCGCCAGUUCCUUACUGCCGAGCAAUGCGAAGGUCACUCGUUCAACCCGGGUAUGCGGCA
Rhodofomes roseus is the source of this 97-nucleotide non-coding RNA. The record is from the annotation of a RefSeq genome assembly. NCBI's taxonomy places the organism in Eukaryota, Fungi, Basidiomycota, Agaricomycetes, Polyporales, Fomitopsidaceae.